Molecule: long non-coding RNA, 1353 nt
Filed under: Anas platyrhynchos platyrhynchos (common mallard)
Lineage: Eukaryota; Metazoa; Chordata; Aves; Anseriformes; Anatidae
Description: lncRNA (ENSAPLG00000029999.1)
Source: RNAcentral
UAUGAACUGCUCUCUUCCAAAAUGUUGAUCCUUUCACACAGCCAAAGGCAUCACCAGCAAAUCAGACCCAAGAUUUGGGGGCUGUGAUACUGCACCGCUAUUCCCCGUAGCAGCCGAGUACUUCUCCUUGUACCUCUCAAGCCUGCCAUUGUGCUGGAAAGUAGAGCAGGAUUAGUCUUCAGCUGUGUAAGUUCCUCAAUCAGUUCCAGAAUAGAGAUGCACAAAUGCUUAUCCCAGCAUGAGAAAAGAGACUCCACAGGGACUGAAGGGACUGGACUGCUUCUGUCAUUGACAGUGUCAGCUUGUAUCAGCCAAAAGUUUUGGCUGAGCUGUGGCUUCUACACCCCAUUUAGAAAAUGAAGACAUUACUAAUUCUUUACUUCUUACGUGUCCACGAGGAUAACAUUGCCGACAUUUGCCAUGAGUGUUAGCAGAAAUGUAAUUCCUGCACUAAUUCCUGACUUGCUGAGGUCUAGCUGCAAAAACCUCCAGUAUCCCUCCCAGUCAGUGCCUGAGCCUGAUCACUGUUUGCUGGAGAUUGUUUUAAGGUCUGAAGCUUAAAAGAUAGAAGAAGGGGAAGGAGAAAGGNNNNNNNNNNGAAGGAGAAGGAGAAGGAGAAGGAGAAGGAGAAGGAGAAGGAGAAGGAGAAGGAGAAGACCGGUGAAUUUCCAGCUUUGGUACAACAGAUGUAUGAAACCUAAGAGCCGUAUUAGAGAUUUCUGAGGGUCUGUCUCCAGAGCCACCAGGCUGCAGAUGCACCUGUACAGCGGCGCCCAGACACCGCCUCCUUGAGCUGCCAGUUGAGCGUGCCAGGGCUUUCAAGCGAGAGGAGCUGGGGAGGUAACGCUGUUGAUCCUUCCUGCCUUUAAAGACAGCAGACUCAGAGAGAUGAGAUCCGUGUACUUCAGUGCAUCUGAGGGUCCGCCUCGGACGGUCUCCAUCUCGCAGAGCUCCGUUAGCAAGCAGCAAGCCCCAGCUGAACGUGGACCUGCGCUGUCAGCACCUGCCAGGCCCCAAGCUGUGAGUACGGAGCCAGAGGGAUUUCCAUCACAAUCCACUCUUUUUCCCUCAGUUUGCAGCCAGGAAAACAGGCCAUGGGGAGACACAAGCCUACCUGUAGAGCCAUCAGUUUGGCCUUUUUCAAGCAGCUUUUAUCCUUCUUUUAAAUCCCUCUCUGUUGUGUGCCAGAGCAACAAGCCAUAUGUUAAAGAUGUUAAAGAGCAAAUAGUUUGCAGACUGUACCAGCAUGCAGAGUCAGAGGGGAAGCGAGCAAUAAUGUUGGGAGAAAGGGGAAGAAGUGAUUAUCUGGUAGUGAUUAUUCGGGAGGGCAAUAGUGGGAGGUGCUGUAAGUGA